Long non-coding RNA from Cephus cinctus (wheat stem sawfly), 1575 nucleotides. RefSeq lists it as uncharacterized. The transcript has 3 exons. The record is from RefSeq and is a predicted model, not a curated record. NCBI's taxonomy places the organism in Eukaryota, Metazoa, Arthropoda, Insecta, Hymenoptera, Cephidae.
GUACAGUUUAGCUACCGCGUACUCCGCUUUCUACCUGGACUGUAACUACGCUUGUCAUAUUCUCUGAAAUUUAGUACUCGUGACGAAUACUAGGCGUCGGAUUACUUAAGUCGUAGAAGGAUGAUGAUAGCCAUUGGAAGCUACUCCUUUCACGACUCGUGCCUCAUGGCAAAGGCGGAUACGACGAGGAUCGUAUACAAGGGCAAUACGUCAUGGCUGUAUUGCAGUCUAAAUCUCGGUACUUUUAUGGGCAGUAAAGUAAAACGUUCUGACAACAACUUCGGCUGCACGCCUUCGUCGCGAUCGCCGCAUACGCUGUGCGAUGCGUAGACCCUAGUCCUACCGGUCUAUCGGUAAUUGCUGACGUAAGGAUAAUGACAACAAUUCAGUUUGGGCAUACUGACCCUAAAGGAUCCUAUUGGACCUGAACUGAAGGUUCAAAACUCAAAUAACUUCUCGAAGGCCAUUUUUGAUGCGGCUACCGGAAACCGAGGACUUCGUUUCUGAAGAAAUACCAUUUGUAUGCGCAACGAACGGCCAAGCGGAGAUUGACGCGCGGCAGUGUUAACGAGACUUGUCUAUGUAUGGCAGAAUCCACUGUCGUGUUGGUCGUGACAAGAAAAAUACACGAUCUGGGAAACUUUGUGAGAGGGCGCCAGUAACGGGAUGCCUUUAAACUGGGGUACGGAAUGAUCUUGAGUAAAAUUCUUAGAAUUCUCUUAAUAGAAGGAAAGAAAAAAAAGGGGAGGAGGAGAUAUCUCUAGGAAUACUCAGUUUUUUCCUUCGGAUUCUUUUAAUAUGGGUCAAUAGAUUCCAGCUCGUAUAUUAAAUUUAAGUCCCAAAGGUUAAACAUGAUAAUUAUUGUUUCGCUUAUUUUUUUUUUAAUGAGCAUCCUCGAUCACUAUCCUUGGCAGGUUAACUCUUGGCGCGUUGUAUAAUUUUCCGUGUAAUAAUAACGCACGGCUUCCACGCUCCGUAUGCUUGCGAAUACUUAAACUGGUGAAUGUAAUGAGUGGCAGUAAUAUAGAAUCGAUAUGCCGUGGUGAUGGAUAGCAAUAAUGGUGCCGAGUGGAAAGUACGAAAUUGCAUUAAACUAUUAUUAACUAUUGGUUUUUGCGGAUUUCAACGGAUAUAAAAAAGGGGUGUAUGAUACGCCUGAGGUCCAUUGACGAUGAAAGUUAAGAAAAUCUAACAACGUUUUUGUGGAUUAUUAUAAGAAUAACGUCGAAGUAUCGUACCAAAGCGUUUUAAGAAAAAAUCAUGUUCGUAAAUUUUAUUACAUUGCCAAGUGUCCAUGCCUUCUACUUAUGUUAUUUGUAUUCCGAUAGUUUUCAUUAAUUUGAGACGUGCUACUUAUAAUUAUAAAUUGAUACAGUAGAUUCACGAGUAAAAUAAAAAGCCUAGGGGACUCAUGUAUAUUGACAACCUACAGGCUAGAUGGCCCCUCGAAAAUGAAUUUUAUUCGUGAACGAACUAUAAAUAUCCUUUAACAAUGUUACAAUUUCCUAAGAUGUUAAUAAGGGAUGUAAUUAGCUUAAUAGAGCCAUUUAUUAACAAACGGUCAGCUUUAUGGGC